Molecule: small nuclear RNA, 163 nt
Filed under: Castor canadensis (American beaver)
Lineage: Eukaryota; Metazoa; Chordata; Mammalia; Rodentia; Castoridae
Description: U1 spliceosomal RNA (ENSCCNG00000011955.1)
Rfam family: U1 spliceosomal RNA
About the family: U1 is a small nuclear RNA (snRNA) component of the spliceosome (involved in pre-mRNA splicing).
Source: RNAcentral
AUACUUACCUGGCAAGGAAGAUACCAUGAUCACAAAGGUGGUUUUCCCAGGGAGAGGCUUAUCCAUUGCACUCUGGAUGUGCUGACCCCUGUGAUUUCCACCAAAUGUGGGAAACUCAACUGCAUAAUUUGUGGUAGUGGGGACUGCAUUCACGCUCUCCCGU